UACGGAGGGUGCAAGCGUUGUCCGGAUUUACUGGGCGUAAAGGGCGCGUAGGCGGUCAGCACAAGUCAGUUGUGAAAUCUCCGGGCUUAACUCGGAAAGGUCAACUGAUACUGUGCGACUAGAGUGCAGAAGGGGCAACUGGAAUUCUCGGUGUAGCGGUGAAAUGCGUAGAUAUCGAGAGGAACACCUGCGGCGAAGGCGGGUUGCUGGGCUGACACUGACGCUGAGGCGCGAAAGCCAGGGGAGCGAACGGG
RNAcentral lists this ribosomal RNA (254 nucleotides) under uncultured bacterium. RNAcentral's name for it is "partial 16S ribosomal RNA". It matches the Rfam family "Bacterial small subunit ribosomal RNA", at positions 524 to 776 of the family's 1533-position model. The record is from RNAcentral.